AGAGUUUGAUCCUGGCUCAGGAUGAACGCUGGCGGCGCGCCUAACACAUGCAAGUCGAACGGCACCCACCUCCGGGUGGAAGCGAGUGGCGAACGGCUGAGUAACACGUGGAGAACCUGCCCCCUCCCCCGGGAUAGCCGCCCGAAAGGACGGGUAAUACCGGAUACCCCGGGGUGCCGCAUGGCACCCCGGCUAAAGCCCCGACGGGAGGGGAUGGCUCCGCGGCCCAUCAGGUAGACGGCGGGGUGACGGCCCACCGUGCCGACAACGGGUAGCCGGGUUGAGAGACCGACCGGCCAGAUUGGGACUGAGACACGGCCCAGACUCCUACGGGAGGCAGCAGUGGGGAAUCUUGCGCAAUGGGGGGAACCCUGACGCAGCGACGCCGCGUGCGGGACGGAGGCCUUCGGGUUGUAAACCGCUUUCAGCAGGGAAGAGUCAAGACUGUACCUGCAGAAGAAGCCCCGGCUAACUACGUGCCAGCAGCCGCGGU
RNAcentral lists this ribosomal RNA (493 nucleotides) under uncultured Collinsella sp. RNAcentral describes it as "bacterial SSU rRNA". It matches the Rfam family "Bacterial small subunit ribosomal RNA", at positions 8 to 521 of the family's 1533-position model. The record is from RNAcentral. Lineage: Bacteria; Bacillati; Actinomycetota; Coriobacteriia; Coriobacteriales; Coriobacteriaceae.